This 821-nucleotide ribosomal RNA is filed under the name Myrmecridium yunnanense. RNAcentral's name for it is "Myrmecridium sp. DB-2023a partial large subunit ribosomal RNA". It matches the Rfam family "Eukaryotic large subunit ribosomal RNA", at positions 88 to 944 of the family's 3401-position model. Lineage: Eukaryota; Fungi; Ascomycota; Sordariomycetes; Myrmecridiales; Myrmecridiaceae. The record is from RNAcentral.
GGCGAGUGAAGCGGCAACAGCUCAAAUUUGAAAUCUGGCGCAAGCCCGAGUUGUAAUUUGCAGAGGAUGCUUUUGGUGCGGUGCCUUCUGAGUUCCCUGGAACGGGACGCCGGAGAGGGUGAGAGCCCCGUACAGUUGGACACCAAGCCUUUGUAAAGCUCCUUCGACGAGUCGAGUAGUUUGGGAAUGCUGCUCAAAAUGGGAGGUAAAUGCCUUCUAAAGCUAAAUACCGGCCAGAGACCGAUAGCGCACAAGUAGAGUGAUCGAAAGAUGAAAAGCACUUUGAAAAGAGGGUUAAAAAGUACGUGAAAUUGUUGAAAGGGAAGCGCUCGUGACCAGACUUGCGCCCGGCGGAUCAUCCGGCCUUCUGGCCGGUGCACUCCGCCAGGCUCAGGCCAGCAUCGGUUCUUCCGGGGGGACAAAAGCGGUGGGAACGUAGCUCCUCCGGGAGUGUUAUAGCCCGCCGCAGAAUACCCCCGGGGGGACCGAGGACCGCGCUUCGGCAAGGAUGCUGGCGUAAUGGUCACCAGCGACCCGUCUUGAAACACGGACCAAGGAGUCAAGCAUUAGGGCGAGUGUUUGGGUGUCAAACCCGCACGCGAAAUGAAAGUGAACGCAGGUGAGAGCUUCGGCGCAUCAUCGACCGAUCCUGAUGUUUUCGGAUGGAUUUGAGUAAGAGCCUUGCCGCUUGGACCCGAAAGAUGGUGAACUAUGCUUGGAUAGGGUGAAGCCAGAGGAAACUCUGGUGGAGGCUCGCAGCGGUUCUGACGUGCAAAUCGAUCGUCAAAUCUGAGCAUGGGGGCGAAAGACUAUCGAACAUC